This 500-nucleotide ribosomal RNA is filed under the name uncultured bacterium. RNAcentral describes it as "partial 16S ribosomal RNA". It matches the Rfam family "Bacterial small subunit ribosomal RNA", at positions 30 to 523 of the family's 1533-position model. The record is from RNAcentral.
AUUGAACGCUGGCGGAAUGCUUUACACAUGCAAGUCGAACGGCAGCACGGACUUCGGUCUGGUGGCGAGUGGCGAACGGGUGAGUAAUACAUCGGAACGUGCCCAAUCGUGGGGGAUAACGUAGCGAAAGCUACGCUAAUACCGCAUACGAUCUAAGGAUGAAAGUGGGGGAUCGCAAGACCUCGCGCGAUUGGAGCGGCCGAUGACAGAUUAGGUAGGUGGUAGGGUAAAGGACUACCAAGCCGACGAUCUGUAGCUGGUCUGAGAGGAUGAACAGCCACACUGGGACUGAGAAACGGCCCAGACUCCUACGGGAGGCAGCAGUGGGGAAUUUUGGACAAUGGACGCAAGUCUGAUCCAGCCAUUCCGCGUGCAGGAUGAAGGCCCUCGGGUUGUAAACUGCUUUUGUACAGAACGAAAAGGCUCUGGUUAAUACCUAGGGCUCAUGACGGUACUGUAAGAAUAAGCACCGGCUAACUACGUGCCAGCAGCCGCAGUAA